Molecule: ribosomal RNA, 1332 nt
Filed under: metagenome
Description: bacterial LSU rRNA
Rfam family: Bacterial large subunit ribosomal RNA
Source: RNAcentral
AGUAGCGAAGUUCCUGAUGUCACACUGCCAAGAAAAGCUUCUAGUGAGAAAGUAACUGCCCGUACCGCAAACCGUCACAGGUAGUUGAGGAGAGAAUCCUAAGGUGUGCGAGAGAACUCUCGUUAAGGAACUCGGCAAAAUGACCCCGUAACUUCGGGAGAAGGGGUGCUGACCGCAAGGUCAGCCGCAGUGAAUAGGCCCAAGCGACUGUUUAUCAAAAACACAGGCCUCUGCAAAAUCGAAAGAUGACGUAUAGGGGCUGACGCCUGCCCGGUGCUGGAAGGUUAAGAGGAGAGGUUAGCGCAAGCGAAGCUUUGAAUUGAAGCCCCAGUAAACGGCGGCCGUAACAAUAACGGUCCUAAGGUAGCGAAAUUCCUUGUCGGGUAAGUUCCGACCCGCACGAAAGGCGUAACGAUUUGGGCACUGUCUCAACGAGAGACUCGGUGAAAUUAUAGUACCAGUGAAGAUGCUGGUUACCCGCGACAGGACGGAAAGACCCCAUGGAGCCUUACUGCAGUUUGAUAUUGCGUGUUUGUAUCACAUGUACAGGAUAGGUAGGAGCCAAUGAUACCGGGACGCCAGUCUCGGAGGAGGCAACGGUGGGAUACUACCCUUGUGAUAUGACCACUCUAACCCGCUGCUCUUAGCGAGCAGGGAGACAGUGUCAGACGGGCAGUUUGACUGGGGCGGUCGCCUCCAAAAAUGUAACGGAGGCGCCCAAAGGUUCCCUCAGAAUGGUUGGAAAUCAUUCGUAGAGUGUAAAGGCAGAAGGGAGCUUGACUGCGAGACCUACAAGUCGAGCAGGGACGAAAGUCGGGCUUAGUGAUCCGGUGGUUCCGCAUGGAAGGGCCAUCGCUCAACGGAUAAAAGCUACCCUGGGGAUAACAGGCUUAUCUCCCCCAAGAGUUCACAUCGACGGGGAGGUUUGGCACCUCGAUGUCGGCUCAUCGCAUCCUGGGGCUGUAGUCGGUCCCAAGGGUUGGGCUGUUCGCCCUUUAAAGCGGUACGCGAGCUGGGUUCAGAACGUCGUGAGACAGUUCGGUCCCUAUCCGUCGCGGGCGUUGGAAAUUUGAGAGGAGCUGUCCUUAGUACGAGAGGACCGGGAUGGACACACCGCUGGUGCACCAGUUGUUCUGCCAAGAGCAUCGCUGGGUAGCUAUGUGUGGACGGGAUAAACGCUGAAAGCAUCUAAGCGUGAAGCCCCCCUCAAGAUGAGAUUUCCCAUCACUUUAAGUGAGUAAGACCCCUGAGAGAUGAUCAGGUAGAUAGGUUGGGAGUGGAAGUACAGCGAUGUAUGGAGCGGACCAAUACUAAUCGGUCGAGGACUUAAGC